UCGUGUGGGACCGAUGGUGCAAUCCGCCGGAAGUCCCUGAAGCUCGAAGCUCAAGUGAGCCGGACGGGGGUUCGAUUCCCCCCAGCUCCACCAGAGUGCGGAUGCGCGUUGCGUCCGCAGUCUCGUGGGGCUGACUGGUUUCGACGGCGCAUGGCGGUCGAGGGCGACGAUCCGAGAGGCGACUGCCGUAAGCAGAGCAAAUCAAGUAACUGCUAAUGACAGCAUUUACCUGAAGCAGGCCUAAAGCCCGCUUCGGAGUAGCCCGAAAGGGUUUCCCGGCCCCUGCAGGUUCUGCAGGCUCGGCAACAGAAAGGCCGGGACCUCGCGUGUCGCGC
RNAcentral lists this non-coding RNA (335 nucleotides) under Variovorax sp. WDL1. The record is from RNAcentral. Lineage: Bacteria; Pseudomonadati; Pseudomonadota; Betaproteobacteria; Burkholderiales; Comamonadaceae. RNAcentral also lists the same sequence under 2 other names.